GGCGGCGUGCCUAACACAUGCAAGUCGUACGAGAAAGUUGGCUUCGGCCGAUGAGUAAAGUGGCGCACGGGUGAGUAAUGCGUGGAUAAUCUGCCCUUUAAGUUGGGAAUAACGUACCGAAAGGUGCGCUAAUACCUGAUAAUACUGCAUAACUACUGUUGUGUAGUCAAAGAAGGCCUCUGUUUACAAGCUUUUGCUGAAGGAUGAGUCCGCGUACCAUUAGCUGGUUGGUGGGGUAAUGGCCUACCAAGGCUACGAUGGUUAGCUGGUCUGAGAGGAUGAUCAGCCACACUGGAACUGAGACACGGUCCAGACUCCUACGGGAGGCAGCAGUGAGGAAUAUUGCGCAAUGGGGGCAACCCUGACGCAGCAACGCCGCGUGAGUGAGGAAGGUUUUCGGACCGUAAAGCUCUGUCGAGCGGGAAGAAAUGUAUCAUGGCUAAUAUCCAUGAUACUUGACGGUACCGCUAAAGGAAGCACCGGCUAACUCCGUG
This 494-nucleotide ribosomal RNA is filed under the name uncultured bacterium. Its description in RNAcentral is "bacterial SSU rRNA". It matches the Rfam family "Bacterial small subunit ribosomal RNA", at positions 38 to 507 of the family's 1533-position model. The record is from RNAcentral.